GACGAACGCUGGCGGCGUGCCUAAUACAUGCAAGUUGAGCGCUGAAGGUUGGUACUUGUACCAACUGGAUGAGCAGCGAACGGGUGAGUAACGCGUGGGGAAUCUGCCUUUGAGCGGGGGACAACAUUUGGAAACGAAUGCUAAUACCGCAUAAAAACUUUAAACACAAGUUUUAAGUUUGAAAGAUGCAAUUGCAUCACUCAAAGAUGAUCCCGCGUUGUAUUAGCUAGUUGGUGAGGUAAAGGCUCACCAAGGCGAUGAUACAUAGCCGACCUGAGAGGGUGAUCGGCCACAUUGGGACUGAGACACGGCCCAAACUCCUACGGGAGGCAGCAGUAGGGAAUCUUCGGCAAUGGACGAAAGUCUGACCGAGCAACGCCGCGUGAGUGAAGAAGGUUUUCGGAUCGGAAAACUCUGUUGGUAGAGAAGAACGUUGGUGAGAGUGGAAAGCUCAUUAAGUGACGGUAACUACCCAGAAAGGGACGGCUAACUACGUG
This 497-nucleotide ribosomal RNA is filed under the name uncultured bacterium. RNAcentral describes it as "partial 16S ribosomal RNA". It matches the Rfam family "Bacterial small subunit ribosomal RNA", at positions 28 to 507 of the family's 1533-position model. The record is from RNAcentral.